This 494-nucleotide ribosomal RNA is filed under the name uncultured bacterium. RNAcentral describes it as "partial 16S ribosomal RNA". It matches the Rfam family "Bacterial small subunit ribosomal RNA", at positions 28 to 507 of the family's 1533-position model. The record is from RNAcentral.
GACGAACGCUGGCGGCGCGCUUAACACAUGCAAGUCGAACGGAAAGGCCUGCUUUCCCUUGUGGAUUGCGGGUACUCGAGUGGCGAACGGGUGAGUAACACGUGAGUGAUCUGCCCCCAACUUGGGUAUAAGCCUGGGAAACUGGGUCUAAUUCCCGAUAGGACUGCAGGGUGGUGCCUGUGGUGGAAAACGAUUUUCUAGUGGUUGGGGAUGAGCUCGCGGCCUAUCAGCUUAUUGGUGGGGUAAUGGCCUACCAAGGCGGCGACGGGUAGCCGGCCUGAGAGGGUGGACGGCCACAUUGGGACUGAGAUACGGCCCAGACUCCUACGGGAGGCAGCAGUGGGGAAUAUUGCACAAUGGGCGGAAGCCUGAUGCAGCGACGCCGCGUGGGGGAUGACGGCCUUCGGGUUGUAAACUCCUUUCGACCGCGAGGAAGCCACCUGGUUGGAAGGGUGGUGACGGUAGUGGUAGAAGAAGCACCGGCUAACUACGUG